AAGUCGUAACAAGGUUUCCGUAGGUGAACCUGCGGAAGGAUCAUUAACACGUAUCCACGUUAAAACCCCCCCCGUGAACCUUCAUCCUGCUCUUGUAACGCGCGUAGUUCGUAAUCUCUGAUAAAUCAUAGCCCGGAAAGUUGUAGUGAUUCAUAAACUGUGGGGUUAUUAGGGCCCUUUGGCAAAGCUCCUGCCUGAGUGUACGGUCUACAGGAAUCGUAGAAGCGCUAUCCUUGCACAAUCAAUGACACUUUCCAACACUGACUGCUUGGGGAAACAUUGCCUAUAGCUACCGCUCGAUUGUAACUGUUCCAAUGUUCGCACGUAGCCAGAGGUCUCCAUGUGAAGCUCAAUGUAGGUUCUC
Molecule: unclassified non-coding RNA, 364 nt
Filed under: fungal sp.
Lineage: Eukaryota; Fungi
Description: partial internal transcribed spacer region
Rfam family: Eukaryotic small subunit ribosomal RNA (bases 1-46)
Source: RNAcentral